This is a long non-coding RNA of Carassius gibelio (silver crucian carp), 1190 nucleotides long. RefSeq lists it as uncharacterized. The record is from RefSeq and is a predicted model, not a curated record. The transcript is spliced from 5 exons. Lineage: Eukaryota; Metazoa; Chordata; Actinopteri; Cypriniformes; Cyprinidae.
UUGGCAGUAAAAAUCUUUUGAAUUAAGAUUUUAAGUGUUAUUAACUCAGAAUUUCCAUUUAUUUAAAUUAUUCGUACGUCUCUGUUUAAAAAUGAUUGGUCGCGCUUGAAAUUCUGCCUUGACAACAGCGCCGAUUGGCCAAUAUAACACAAGGCGGGAAUUUUUUUGUCGAAUUUGCUGAAGACGCAGCACUGACUGCGGUUCACAAUCAUUUGCAGGAACACCUGAAAGAAGAAAUAAAUAAUACAGUUUAAAGUUAAAUAGCGGGCCAGCUGCACAAGCAGCCAGACAGGCGUUAAAGCAGGCGGGAAGAGAGUCGUCGUGAAAGACCCAGAGUACGCUGGGACAGUAACAUUAGCAGGCAGGUGGUUAUGAAGCAGACGAGGAGGGGGAAGAGUCGAGGCCACAGGAGUAACGUUACGCUGCUAUCAGAGCCAACUGAAACUGAACUUUGGUGCUUCAAGGACUACCCCUUUGGUUUGGAGAUGACUCCUGCUUUCUUUAAGAUGUCUUUGAUGUCCGAUGAUCACCGCUCAAUUCUUUAUGUGCCAGUGGGGAUUUUGAUAGUUGAAGAUGGGACAAGAUGGGUCUCCCUCUUCGAUUGGAAUCGUAAUCGAGGGAAAAUUAGUGAUGGACAAUCUACAUGACCUUCCUGAAAAAGCAAUGUGCCUUCUGUUCGGACUUCUAUAUGCAUAGCACCUGAGUCACCCAAAGUCACUGGGAUACAUGUUUGACUUCAUUCAGCGGAUUCUACUUUCCUUGGGGCAGAAAGACCUCCAGCCUAAAACACAGUCGUUGGCAAACCAGCUGUUUGGCUAAAAUCGAGAAAUUGCUUGGCGCACUUUUAAUUGCAACACAUUUACAUUAAACAUGGUCUUUUGAAAAUGAGACUUAAAAAUAUGAGCUUAAUGUUUUUUUUUUUUUUUUAUGUGAGUGUAAUGUUCUGUAAAAAUGUAAGCUUACUGUUAAACAUGAGCUCAAUAUUUUAAUGUGACUUAAAAAUGCAGCUUGCUGUUAAAAAUAUGAGCUACUGUUUUCUAAAAAUGUGAGCUUAAGUGCUGUUCAAGUGUCUAAAUGUGACUUAAAAAUAUGAGCUUGAUAUUAGUAAUGUUUCUUAAAUUAAUGUAAGUGUAUAAACCAAAUAAAGCUGUUAAUGGAAAAACAAUAUUUCUAUUAAAUCAUUAAAACAA